UACAGAGGUCUCAAGCGUUGUUCGGAUUCAUUGGGCGUAAAGGGUGCGUAGGCGGCGCGGUAAGUCGGGUGUGAAAGCCCCGGGCUCAACCUGGGAAUUGCAUUCGAGAUUGCAUGGCUAGGGUGCGGAAGAGGGAAGCGGAAUUUCCGGUGUAGCGGUGAAAUGCGUAGAUAUCGGAAGGAACACCAGUGGCGAAAGCGGCUUCCUGGUCCAGCACCGACGUUCAGGCACGAAAGCGUGGGGAGCAAACAGG
RNAcentral lists this ribosomal RNA (253 nucleotides) under uncultured bacterium. RNAcentral describes it as "partial 16S ribosomal RNA". It matches the Rfam family "Bacterial small subunit ribosomal RNA", at positions 524 to 776 of the family's 1533-position model. The record is from RNAcentral.